UAGAAGGCUUUCUUGGGUUCCGUAGUAUUAUGUUUAACUAGCUGGUCCGAGGGAAAGCUUGUAACACGGAAGGGAAAAAGCCUGGGAGAU
RNAcentral lists this small RNA (90 nucleotides) under Heyndrickxia shackletonii. Its description in RNAcentral is "Bacillus shackletonii Guanidine-I sequence". It matches the Rfam family "Guanidine-I riboswitch aptamer". From Rfam's summary of the family: This family represents a conserved RNA structure found upstream of the ykkC and yxkD genes in Bacillus subtilis and related genes in other bacteria. The function of this family is unclear although it has been suggested that it may function to switch on efflux pumps and detoxification systems in response to harmful environmental molecules. Nelson showed that this riboswitch senses and responds to guanidine and it was renamed Guanidine-I riboswitch. Lineage: Bacteria; Bacillati; Bacillota; Bacilli; Caryophanales; Bacillaceae. The record is from Rfam by way of RNAcentral.